UACGUAGGGUGCGAGCGUUAAUCGGAUUUAUUGGGUUUAAAGGGUGCGUAGGCGGCCCUGUAAGUCAGUGGUGAAAUACGGCAGCUCAACUGUCGAGGUGCCAUUGAUACUGCAGGGCUUGAGUACAGACGAGGUAGGCGGAAUUGACGGUGUAGCGGUGAAAUGCUUAGAUAUCGUCAAGAACACCGAUAGCGAAGGCAGCUUACUAGGCUGUAACUGACGCUGAGGCACGAAAGUGUGGGGAUCAAACAGG
RNAcentral lists this ribosomal RNA (253 nucleotides) under uncultured bacterium. RNAcentral describes it as "partial 16S ribosomal RNA". It matches the Rfam family "Bacterial small subunit ribosomal RNA", at positions 524 to 776 of the family's 1533-position model. The record is from RNAcentral.